Molecule: small nucleolar RNA, 75 nt
Filed under: Sciurus vulgaris (Eurasian red squirrel)
Lineage: Eukaryota; Metazoa; Chordata; Mammalia; Rodentia; Sciuridae
Description: Small nucleolar RNA SNORD28 (ENSSVLG00005006041.1)
Rfam family: Small nucleolar RNA SNORD28
About the family: U28 is a member of the C/D class of snoRNA which contain the C (UGAUGA) and D (CUGA) box motifs.
Source: Rfam by way of RNAcentral
GUCAAAUUAUAUGAAUUGAUGAGCUGAUGCUCUGUAAGGUAUAACACUUAAUAGUAUGCAAGAGUUCUGAUUGAA